UUGCAAUUGAUACUUAGAUGUCCAUCCAUAUGCAAGGUUUGCUAUGAUUCCUCCAGCGAAGUAACUCACAGAUUUCUCGUCACUCAGAAUCAGAUCUCUGUAAGACAGCAGUUAGAAAAGGUUCCAAAUGUCACAACUUACGUUGCAGCUAAUUGAAGCAAAUGAUCCUCUGGAUGAUCUUUCAAGGCACGUAAGACAAGCUAGGGAGAAAAACAAUUCAAAAUAAUAUGUAACCAAGAUUAUAGAUUCUUCUUUACUGAUUGUGGCAUUAAAAGCAAAGAAGAAAAGAGAAGUAAUUAACUCCAUUUCAAAGAACAUUGCUUGUUAGCUUAUUAACUUCACUUUAAAAAAUCUUUAAGACCGUUGCAGAAUUAUGUGUCAUAAAAAUUCUGCACUGACAGCACAUUUAAUUAGGGCUCUUUUUCUUUUGAAUCACAUGUCAGCCACAACACAAUUUUUCCAGGAAGAGAUUUAUCAAGUUUGAAUAUUUGAGUAAUUAAAAAAAACUAGCCUCCUAACAAAAGUCUUGUUCAACCAGUCCUGUCCCAAUUCAAAGAUCCAGUUAGUACCAUAUAUUCCAUAUAAGACCAAAAAACUAUAUGCAACAAAAUGUUUUGAUAGACAACUUGAACUAAAAGACGAAGAAGAAUCUUGAAAUAUCUUGUGUGUUUUAUUGUGUGAAUAUCUUGUAAUAUGUGAAAUAUCUUGUGUGAAUAUCUUGAAAUAGAGGUUAUGUGUGUUUUUACUCUUUUCCUAAUAAGAACCAGUAAAUUGAAGUUCAGGCUGGCUGUUCUUAAAUUUUUUCAAGCUAAGAGUGCAAAAAUACAAACUGGGCCUAAGGCUGGAUAUCCUGUUGCUUUUUGUGCGGUCCAAAACCACUCUAUUAACCAUCAUGAAAAGCCAAUAAAUGGAUUACCUGAAUGACCUCUGGUCUUCGUUCAGUCCACUCACUGCACAGGAUAAAGAGGUUUUUCAGAGCUUCUCUGAUGUAGAGUGCUCUGCUUCCAUAUACUUUUAAUGAUAGAAGAAUUUGAUUUUCUAAAAAGGUACCAGAGAUCAGAAGGUUCUGCAAAGUAAAAAAAUAUUAUCAAGCUUCUAGCGAUUCUUAAAAACUUAUUAGCUUUUUAAAAAUUGUCACAAAAUUAUGUAAUUUAAGCAUACAUAUUAUAUAAUUAUUUGCUUUAAACCCUCCCAGUCAACGAUUUAUGUACCAAUAAAGGUGACAACAGGAGGCUUGAAAUUGAAAAAUUAUAGUAAAUGCAUUACAUAAUUAAUGGCCAACUAGAUCUGCUUACAGUAGUGAUGGCUGGUUUGAAACCUCACCAGUCAUUUAGUUCAUAUUAACUAAAAGCUCACACAGCUCUGAAAAAAUGAUGAAGACUGACAGUGCAUACAGCAAUUGGACAGCAUUUUUGGUCAUUCAAUCAAUGCCACAUGCUACAAAAUUCCUUGAAUGUAAAAUAUGGAAAAAGGUUUUGAAAUACUCUGAUGUAGCACGCUCUUGAUCUAUAAGAGCCUAGAAACUCUAUUUGCAAAAAGUAGGCAAUGAAAAAUCCUUAUCAUGAGAUGCGGAAAUGAGAAAAACUUUUUAAUUUUCCCAGAUAUUGACAAAACAGUGGUGAUUUCAUAAGCUAAAGAACAAAGCUAAUAAAAGUGUCAUGCAAAACUAUUAUUUUGUGGUCUGGGAUUCCAUUAGAUUUAGCUUUGAAUAACUUUGUGAAACCAGUUGUAAAAGACAAAGUAAGGUUGAAGAGAAGUAGUUUUUAUUGAAUGCCACAAAGAGAUUUUUCAAAAUCCAAAGGAGACAUGGGUAAAUACAACAUUUAUUGGCAUGGACAGAUAUUCUCACAGUUGGUUGAGAAUAAACAGAGAUUUUAUCAAAAAUUUCAUCUUGGACCAUAUCAAAAUUUCUCAAGAUACCACUUGGAGACUUUAUUCUGCCUUUUAUCAAACACGAUCAUGCAAAACUACUUCACUUACAAGCACGCUAUCUGCCACAGAAGCCAUGACAGUGUAUUCAAUUUCUAUUAGAGACAGGCCAAGAAAAGUAACUGUCUUGUGUGAUUCCAAGAACUUGUUAACGUGACCAGUAUGUAGUCCUUUCAUUCCAGAUAAAUCCAGAGAUGAAAUCUUUGGUAGCAGACGUCCAUCUUCAAGCUUUUCCAUGAAAUCAAUAACAAACUUUCGGCGUUCAGCUCUGUCUUUUGCUGCUUCUUGAGUAUUAUCCUCUGGGUCAUCAUCAACUGAUAAAUCCAAGUAGCAUAGAUUGUUAAGAUCCAUCAGUCCAAUUAGACCAUGUUGCUGGGUUAGAACACCAUGAAAAUUCAGUAUUGUUGGUAAACUCAGACUCUGAAGUUGUGUUCCAAAAUACGAAAAUACUGAUGUGUCUAAAGAAAUUUGGGACUUAUUGCGAGGUGUAAAUACUUCAAGUGCUUUUAAAGAGGGGCAAAAUCUCAAAAGAUUUGACCAUUUUUCAUGAUUUAGAUCGCAAUAGUCAAGUAAUGUGUGGAUGCAGAAUACCUCUAAAUUUGGAAACCUGGAGACAAAAUUAAACAAAUGACCAUCAUCGUGAAAUGAUAUUGGAUAGAAAUAUAACUUCAGAACUUUCAAUGACUUUUCGGAGCCUCUAAAUGCAUCCCAUAAAUCAGUUAAAGUUGGGUGAUUUGAAUUGUCUUUAUUGAAUUGUAAGACAAUUUCCUUUAAGUUAUACGUAGAAAAUCCAUGUAGACUUGAUCCACCUAUUGAGCUUCCUAGGUCAGCUAAGUGAAGUUUUUCCAAUGAAAAGUCAUUUGCUUUCCGAAACAGUUUCAACUUAAAAUCUGAAAUGCCACCAGUACGGCCAAGAUAUUCAAAAACUGAGCAAACGAAGGGACCUGGUAGUCUACACAAGUCACUUAGAAAUCCAUAUUCACAUUCCUCCAACGAGGAUUCUGCACGAUUCAGUGUAGUUUUUAUAUAAUCAAGGCACGCCAGCUCCAGUGAUAAGGGUUCCGAUGACCAACGGGGAUCCAUUCUCAAAUUCGAAACUAUUUCUUUAACCGAGCAGUUCAAUUACAGACCUUUCUUGGUGUUAAUUAUUUGUAACCCAUAUAAAGGUUAUACCAUCCUAGGCCAUACGAAUAAUAGGCCUAGGCCAAACAGUUCUUGGUCGCCUACAUUUGUGUCUCAAAGCUGAAUAAUUUGCCAACAAACUUUAAUAAAAAAUGAGCCAAGCAGAUUCAGUUUAAAAAAAUUUAGCAGCACUCUGCUAAUCAAAGUCCUAAACUCUUUAACCUGUAAGAAAUAAAAAUUGUUGUCUUUCUCGCAACGAAAUUCAGAACCAAAAUAAAUUCUUUGAGGAACAUCGCUAACUGCACUCCUGCUAAGCGCCGUGGCUUGCGCAGCAUUUGGUGAGUGAGACAUUUGGUGAGUGAGAAACCAAAAUAAAAUAAUGACCCAUAUCUUCAUAUCCCAAGGCCCCGUUCACAUUGCUCCGAUUCCAGUGUAAACGGAUAAAAAAGUAUCCGUUUUCACCUUGCGCUCACACUGCUCCGCUGCGAAAACAGAGACUUUUGAAAACGCACGUUGAAAACGGAGACUUUCGACAACGCAAUACGCAGUGUGAACAUAGAAAACGGAUACUUUUGAUAACGAUAACAACAACAACACCACAGCAAGAUGCUCAGACCACGCCAAUUUGAACAACUUCUCUUAACAUGGCUGAUUCACUCGAAGUUAGUACACUACUUGGAGGGAUAUUAGUGGCAGACAAUGCCUACUUUUCAACGAUGUGCGAACACAUGCUACUUACCAUCUGUCUUUCCAAAACCAUGAAACCUGACGUGUGUCCGUUAUCAACUGAUGAAAACAACGGUAAGCUAACCGCUCUGUUACAGAUACGUCGAUAGCGUCUAGCUGCUCUGUCCUACCUUGUGCUCUUCAUAGCAGAGAAAUAUACAUAACGAAAAGGUAAAUUGCUAUUUCCAGCAGCUUUAUAUAUUUUUAGCUUUGAAAAGGCUUGAACACAUAUUGUUUACUUUUCCCGGGAUGGCAAAGAACAAUCGUGGCUAUUGAGCAUUAUUGCCACUGACUCAUGUUGAGGAUUUUUGACGCCAUUUUUAUUUCAAGCUUUCAAGUACUUUCUCGUAUCUAAGGAUGACAUCAUUCACAGAGUUUUGGCAAAAAGGAUCAGUGCAAGCAUUCUCAAUCAAAAUGGUAAAUUCUGAAUAUCUGCCAUUUUGAAUUAAUGCUGCCAUUUUGCAGGAAAAUUUGUGAAAUAUGAUUUUUACAGAAUAUUUGCAAAAAGGAUAUAGUUAUUUGCUUAAAGAAAUCCGCCAUUUUGCAAUUGAGCCGUCAUUUUGAAAAUAAUGAAAAAGCUCAAAAGUCCCCAAGUGAAAUUUG
This is a long non-coding RNA of Rhopilema esculentum, 4380 nucleotides long. RefSeq lists it as uncharacterized. NCBI's taxonomy places the organism in Eukaryota, Metazoa, Cnidaria, Scyphozoa, Rhizostomeae, Rhizostomatidae. The record is from RefSeq and is a predicted model, not a curated record.